Long non-coding RNA from Lagopus muta (rock ptarmigan), 1687 nucleotides. RefSeq lists it as uncharacterized. The transcript has 3 exons. Lineage: Eukaryota; Metazoa; Chordata; Aves; Galliformes; Phasianidae. The record is from RefSeq and is a predicted model, not a curated record.
UCACAGCUCCUGUGCUGGCCUGGCAGCCUGGUCUGGAUGCUCUCACAAGCCACCCAGCAUGCAGACAAUUGCUUAAUCUGCUGUGGAAGCAAAAGGACAAUAUAAUUUUAGGCCUCAUUCAAAAGAUGUUGGGAGAGCAAAUGAAAAACCCCUCUGCAAUUAGGUUUGCAACUGUUGAUGUUGAACUGAUAAUCGGUCCACAGCCCACCCUCAGGCCUGUGGGAGAUGGGUGUACAGCUGGAGGCUCCAGCCCUGGGGCAUUCUAUUGCCCAGUGGUUUUCAGCUUCUUUGAUGCACUUGGAGCCCCAAAAAUUAGAGGCCUGACAUUUGGGCAUCCCAUAGAAAUUGGGAUACUGCCCUACUUGGAAGGGAAUUUAUCAUUUCAGAGUCCAUAGCACAAGGAGAGAGUAAAUGUAUGGCAAAUGCUGAACCUUUAGGCUCAACCCAUGCCUCUGAAAAUAGGCCUGAGUACUUCACUAGGGAGAUGCAUUGAAGGAACACAACCCCUACAGCCCAGAAACAUCAGGCAGGUGGGCAGGGUCUCCAGAAUGCACCUGGACCUCCCAGCAGAUCUCAUUAGCUGGAACUGCCUCCUCCCAGGGCCAAGCAAGACCUGAAUGCUUACACCUGCCAGUGCUACAGUCCUUCAGGAGCAAGAUGUGAUGGUGAUGCAUCAAUGCCUUGUGUGAGACAACACUGGAGAACUGGCAUCUCUUCCUCCAGCAGUUAGAUCUGAAGGCGAUGGAGGAAGGAAGGAAGUGGGCACAGAGAGAGUGACAUGAAAUCCAUGCUUGAAGAUCCAUUGUGGCUACAAAGGAGAUUGCGUGGCCCAGGAUAGAUCCUGAGUGACUUUGACAAGAACAAGGAAUAUUGAUUAUCCACAACUCACCACUCCUGGAUGCACUAUGCAUGGAGUCCACACGUUUACCCUAGCAGCCUCAAGGCCACCUCUCCAUCCAUGACAGCCUAAUGGAUGUGAGCUGGUACUUCAUGCACUGUUUUCAUUACAGAUAGUGACAGCCUGAUGAUACUCAGUUUCAUAAGCUGCUAUGUUUGAAAUUGCUUCAUUUCCUACAGACAAGCCAAAUUCUUCUCAGCUUCACCAACGCUUGUUCUUAGUAGCAGCAAUCAUGAUGAGAAUAUGACUUUUUGUCAUUGUAUCCUAAAUUUAUCUGAGAGCCUCUGGCAUGGAAUUUGUUUCUCACCAAGCCGUGAGGAAUAUCUUGUAAGUCAAUAUCAUUAAGAACCAAGUCUUGAGGAUAAAUCUUCCCUCUAAGGUGUUAAUCAGUGGUCCUCAGGCAAGGAAUUGGGAGUUGGAGGGAAGUCUCAGUGAUCAACUGUCUCCAACCAGUCACAGGAUAUAAGAGCAGCAAAUCAAGUAGUUGCAGAUUCCUUCAGUAUCCAGACACAUGGCCCCUGAGGACAUGAAAAUUCAGAGUGUGAUUUCACUGGCCCAGAGUUCAUGCAAGGUCUCAGUGAGAUCCACACUUUAUAUUUCAUUCAGAAUGUUUUGUAUUUCACCUAGAAUAUUAACUUCAAGAAUGAGAAGAAAGGUGAAAAAGUUCGCAGUAAAAAUGGUAAUGAAAACUGUCUUGGGUAAAGCAACUUCAUAAGAAUUGUUAAUUUGUAGUGUUUCUGGUUGGUAUGACAUUUUAAACAGCUCUUUCUACCCACACUCUUAAAGUGA